CAAUGAAAAAAGUAUGAUAAUGUGCACAUAAAUUGAAUUGGGUCUCUUGGCCAGCUCAUUCUGAUGCCAUUUGGCAUUGAUUUGAGGGUAUGAUUCAGCAGCAAAACG
This is a small nucleolar RNA of Rhododendron vialii, 108 nucleotides long. RefSeq annotates it as small nucleolar RNA snoR100. The record is from RefSeq and is a predicted model, not a curated record. NCBI's taxonomy places the organism in Eukaryota, Viridiplantae, Streptophyta, Magnoliopsida, Ericales, Ericaceae. The transcript has a single exon.